GCAUCUAUAGCUCAGUAGGAUAGAGCGCUCCCCUCCUAAGGGAGAGGUCAUUGGUUCGAUUCCAAUUAGGUGCACCA
RNAcentral lists this transfer RNA (77 nucleotides) under Bacilli bacterium. Its description in RNAcentral is "tRNA-Arg". It matches the Rfam family "tRNA". Rfam says of the family: Transfer RNA (tRNA) molecules are approximately 80 nucleotides in length. Their secondary structure includes four short double-helical elements and three loops (D, anti-codon, and T loops). The record is from RNAcentral. Lineage: Bacteria; Bacillati; Bacillota; Bacilli.